This is a non-coding RNA of Peromyscus maniculatus bairdii (prairie deer mouse), 1551 nucleotides long. NCBI's taxonomy places the organism in Eukaryota, Metazoa, Chordata, Mammalia, Rodentia, Cricetidae. The record is from RefSeq and is a predicted model, not a curated record.
UUGUACUAAGCUUCACCCAUAUCUUGAAUUUUAAAAUUAGGCAGAAUGUGUCAUUCUGUUUCUCAGGAUGCCAUGUAUUCAUCAUAUUCAUACUGCCUGAGCUUUCUGAGUCAUUGGAUUGUAGGUGCAUGACCUUCUUCCUGCCUGUUAUGUUUGUUUUGAAUUUUUAAAUGAAUAUGAGUAUUUUACCUGUAUGCAUGGAUAUGCACCACAUGGGUACUUGGUCAUCACAGUGAUCAAAUGAUAGUCUCAGAAAUCCUGAACUUGGAAUAGUGGAUAGUUGUGAUCCCCUGCAUAAAUAUUGGCAAUUGAGCUCACCUCUCUGAAAGACCAGCAAGAGCUCUUUACUACUGAGCCAUCUCUCCUGCCCUGUGUUGAUUAUUUAUGAUCAACAUUCAUAUUGCUAAUGUUUUCAUCUGUCCAUUUAUAACUGUUACAACAUGCAGUGCCUUUUAGUAAAAUCUUAUUGAUGUUACAGUUUGAAUUGGGACACUUCAGAUUUCUGGAAGAUAGAUUUAGAACUGGAGUGAAUGCAUAGCUCUUUGUAAGAACAUCAGUGAAACCCCCUUGGUUCUAUCUUUUUGUUUGUUUGACUGAUUUUUGCAUGGGAAACAGGGUCCUAAUAUGUACUUCUGGCUGUCCUGGACUUGAUUGCAUAGGCUAAGCUGGCAUUCAACUUAGAGGCAGAUUUAACUGCCUCUGCCUUUUGAGUGUUGGGGUUAAAGUGUGAGCCAAUACAUUCAGCUUGUCAAUCUUAUUUUUCUUCUUUGUAGUUAGUAAUUGUUUAUACAAUUUCUCUCGUGUACUCUGUAUUGUUUAUCUGUUUUCUUGUCUCUCUAUGUUUUGUAAUAGGCAUUUCCCUUGCAAGGUGAUAUCCCAUUCAAAGGGUAAAGAAAUUUCAGAGGUGACCCUCCUAUUCAGUUUCCUUCUAAAGUGACUUCGUGAUUACUUUAUAAUGUCUAUAGUAUAAGUGUGGGGAGAACCAGAAUUAUAUGUCUAUACUGUCAAAGAAGUAUACAUUUACAAUAUCAGUAUCAUGCUUUCUUUUGUACACAUGUAUGGGAUGUUUUAGAAUUCAGUGACCUAUGAUGAUGUGCAUGUUGACUUCACUAAGGAAGAGUGGGCUUUGCUGAAUCCUUCCCAGAAGUAUCUCUACAAAGAUGUGAUGCUGGAGACUUAUAGGAAUCUCACUAUUAUAGGAUACAGUUGGGAAGACCAUAAUAUUGAAGAACAUUGUCAAAGUUCUAGAAGAUAUGGAAGGCAUGAAAGAAGCCAAACUGGAGAGAAACCUUCUGUAUAUACUCAAUGUGCCUUUGCAUACGAUAGUCAGCUUCAAAGUCAUGAAAGAAUGCAUACUGGAGAGAAACCCCAUGAAUGUAAUCAGUGUGGUAAAGUCUUUGUACAGCACAGUCAUCUUCGAAGACAUCAAAGAAUACAUACUGGAGAGAAACCCCAUGAAUGUAAUCAGUGUGGUAAAGCCUUUGCACAGCACAGUCAUCUUCAAAGGCAUCAAAGAACACAUACUGGAGAGAAACCCUAUGAAUGUAAUCA